This is an RNA transcript of Juglans regia (Persian walnut), 2970 nucleotides long. RefSeq lists it as uncharacterized. The transcript is spliced from 2 exons. Lineage: Eukaryota; Viridiplantae; Streptophyta; Magnoliopsida; Fagales; Juglandaceae. The record is from RefSeq and is a predicted model, not a curated record.
AUCUGUUUAAAGUUCCCAAGGUGAUCGAUAGGCUUAGAUGACUGAGAUUAGGGAAGUUUUCUUCGCCCGUGCCUCGCUCGCAUUUUCUUUGCUCGCGCCUCCCUCAAGAAUCCAUUCUUCUUUCAAUGGCCAGCCAUGGUUCUUCCCGUACCCCCAUUCGUUCUUCUAGCCCAACUCUGGCGAAGGGCUCCCCCUAUUCUUGCUAUUGAAUCUUCCCUCACUCGAAUCUCUACCUCAUUUGAGGGAUUUUCUUGGCGUUCUACCCUGUCUGAAAGGGACUUAGUGAAGCUAAGGUCCAACUUCCGAAUCCCAAAUUCGGUGAAGCUUUCCAUCCCUGUUGCGAGAUGUACUGAUGAAGAAGGGUACGCUGGUGACGCGGCCCUGACGGUGAGUGCCUUGAUGCACAGAUUGUGACUCCCUUUCAUAUGGCCGUUCGUGACGUUAUGGAUUUUCUAGGGCUAGCCUCUGCCCAACUUCACUCGCAUGCUUGGCGUGUUCUGAUGUGUCCAUGUGUGGUCUUUCGCAUGGUCUUAGAGCCCCUAGGGGACACUUACCCAGACCUAACAGCAAAAGAAUUUCUUUCUUUCUAUGGAGUAAAGUCGUUGCCAGGCAACGUAUGCAAUUUUCGUGUUAGGUAGUAGCGCUUGGUGGACUUUGAGCCACGCUAUUCUAAUACCAAGUAGUUGCAAAAUAAAUUCUUUUUAUUUCUGGUAGCAAUUGGGAGUACCCCACUGACGAGAUGCAUAUUCGGGACUACUCAGUGCGUGACAAUUGGGGAAGGACGACAAGAGCUUGCUGUUGGAUUUGGCUGAUAGGGAGCAUUCCCCUGUCAACAUUGUCCUUAAUUGGGCAAAAGAAAAUGAUAGGAGUGGUUUGGCGAUGGAGAACUUGCUCUCCACCGCCAAUAUUGAUAGAUUCUUGGUGACACCCCGCCGGGCCCAUGUCCGGGGUUGUAAACUCAAGGCCGUUACACCCCCACAACCUCUAGUGAAGAGACGCACUCCCCAGCUCGGGGGGAAAAAGGAAAGCUUCAAAACCUUACGGUUCUUUGCCUAAACGCCCCCGUGAUGGCGUUGAUGUGGGCGGGGCUGCUGUACCCAUAACGAGGGCGAAGGUGGAGGUGGAUCGGGAGGUGCGCUGUGAUCCCAACCUUGUUGCUGGUGAGGAGGCUCUUGAUGCUUCCCUUGAGAGAAAACGCCCAGAGCUUCCCCGAUAAGGGUUUCCUCCCCUUUGUCGCCAGGUCUUGGCGACCUCCCUGGGUUCAUGGGCCAACAAGCCCUUGCUGACCUGGCAACAACUUUUGAUUUUGAUUUGCCUGCCAAGGGCGCUGAACCCGCCCUUUGAAUUUCCUUCUCUCCUCUCACCAACCUCAACGCCCAAUGUUGGCGACCUUUCUACAGAUAUGUACGGUGCCUUUUCUAUGGGCUUGGCUGGGGUGCCUGAAGCUAUCUUACUUGGUGGCGCCCAGACCAACGCUGAAGAUGACUGCGAAGAGCAAGGAUCUACCCUGAGUUUGCUCCCUGCGACUAUAUCUUGGGGUGAGACACCUCCUACUGACCAUGAAAGGAUCUCAAUCCCUUCUCCCUCGCCGUCCUCAUUAGGCGGUGAGGAGGAUUCUCCCACUCCCCUAAAGGGGGUGGGUCUUCCUUAGAAGAUGUCGGCAUUGAAGAAAGAGGCGUGGGUGAUGGAAGUUUGGCCGAUGCUGACCUUGGAGGGUAGGUUGAACACCCAGGGAUGUCCGCGGUUGAGUUGGCAAAUUUGACCACCCCUUCACUUCCCUUCGUGCCCCCAACAUCGGAGGGGCUCCCUGCGGUUGAGGGGGCAAGCAGGGUCUAGGAGGGUGUUGACAAGUUGGCGGCUUGGAUUGUGGGCGAGCAUGCCAAGUUCGAGAAAGAGGUUAAGGAGUGGCUAAAGUUCAGAUAUUAUGCCAAAAAGGAAAUGACCAGGCUCGUAUCUGAGAAGGUUGAGAUGAAGUGUUAACUGGAGCAGGUCGAUGGGCACAUUCGAAACUUGGAGGCUGGCCUUGAGUUCCUCCGUGUUGAAGCAUGUGAGCUCCGUGGUGAAUUGCUUCGAGCUCAAUCUCUACAAGUGUGUGAGAGCUUUGCCUUGUGGUUGGCGGAGUCUGAAAGGGCGUCUGCUCAAGCCCAGAUGUCGAGAUUGAGUGAGGCCCUGGCCGCCUCCCAGGGUUCGCAAGCAGACUCUAAGCGGCUUUCCCAAGGUGACUACCUUGGAGGAAGAAUGUAAAUGACUUGCCCUUGAAUUUUCAAACAAGAAGGCAUUGCGUGUGGAGGAGCACAGGCAGUUCAACUUCAGUUUUCCAAGGCGAAAGGUAAUUAUGAGGAAGUGCAAACCAGGUUUGCUACUUAUAAGAAGGUUCAGGAGGAUAUUGACGCUGCCCAAGGUAUGAUAGCCUAAAGUUUGCGGCAUCUAAACACUACCACUAAAGAGCAGAAACAAUAGUUGGAGGGGCUGGGGGCUCAAUUAGCCUCAGCCAAUGGGGAGCUAGUCCAUUUGCAACGGUCACCACUAGGGCUAUUAGGGACCAUGCCUUUGGGUAUGGCUAUGGGGCUGGUAUGGCUCGUUUGCGGGCCUACAUGCUGGCUAACCCUUGCACCAACCUAAAGAAGCUAGACUUGGAGAAAUUUCAGCCUAAUGAAGUAUGCUAUCAAUUCGUGGACACCUUAGGGUGCAAAGAAAUGCUCGAUGCCUUUCCCAACCCGACAUCAUUAGCCCGCCUUGGUGGAGCCUCCUCCUCCUCUUGAGAUUUCUGAUUCCUAUUUGCAUUUAAUUUCUGUUUUCACUUUGGACAAUGUUUGGCCCUCGAAUUGGCCUUUUCGCUUUUCUAUGUGCUUUUUUGUUGGUUAUGGGCAAUGUUUUGGCCCUUGAAUUGGCCUUUACCUUUGUAUAUGAUCUUUUCGUGUUGGCCCUAGAAUUGGCCUUUUACCUUUGUAUCUGAUCUUUUUAUAUUGG